UAGAUAAGUAUGUCGAAUUUAUGUUUUAAUCAUGACUUGUUACCAUGAGUGUUGCUGUUAUUUCUUGACUGACUUUCACGUAAGUGAGAUUUAGCAUUCGCACAUUGGAAGUAUAAAUAAAUAAAUACGUUAGACUCGUACGCUCAAGAAACGCAACUUUCUACCAACUUGGUCUCUGGAAAUUCUUGAAAGAAAAUUGAACAGCUGCUUCGAGCGAGUGACUCACGCCAGCACGGAGAAAGGCCCGAUACCAAAACGAGAUGGUAAAACUCGAAUUUCGUCUGGAUGAUUCAACGGAAUGAAAUCAGAUAAUCCGUGAUAAUCGUCAGUUACUUCGUUUUUCGAUAAAACGAGUUUGUGCAAUCUGUGAAUCUCUGAACCAAGAUUCGCGAUUAGCAUUGAUUGCUUUUUAAUCAUUUAUUAAUCGAAAGAAUUUAAUAGUUUGAUAGAAGAUAUAAAAGAAUAAUUGAAAAAUUCAAUAUAAUAAUAAAAUUACGUUUGUUUCCAUCAAAGUAACCGACGUAGAAAUUCUGCGAUUAAAGAAUCUAAUUUCACUUGCAUGUUCAUUUACAAAGCACAGAUAAAGAUACGCAAAAGAAUAAUCUUGCAAUCUCGAGUCUCGAUAUUCAUGCAAACUGAAUCUUAUCGAUGAAUCGAAACAAUUUAAAGGUCUAAAAAGUUUUUAAAAAAGUAAUUUGUAAGAAUAGAUUGAUUUUUAUUUACCUUUAUGCUCGUCAUUGACAAAGGAAAGUUAAGAAGAAUAUUGGAAAAAGUCCAUAUAAUAAAAUUAAAUUCACUAUCGUCGAAAAAUUCCACCGACAAAAUAAUCCAAAUCCGCUUUCGCGUAUUUUCACUAAGCACGAAAGGAGUAAAUCCACAAAGGAAUAAUCCUGUAACAAAUUUCAAAGCAAUCCUUUCGCAAACACAGUAUCGAUAAUCCAGAAACGAAAUAAUCCAUUUCCAUAUAGAUCAAAAAACAGAAAUCCUGAUGUUCACAAUCACGGUACAAAUAUAUUAAACCGUCAAUAGUUCACUUUCGCACAGAAAUUGAAAAGCACAGAUUUAAAAAUAUCAACAUUUCGUUGAAGAGCAGAAGACUAUGAUAAUUUCCAUCGCGACAUUUGAACAACCAGAUGACAGAUCCUCUUAGUAAAUACUUGGCAGCCUCCACGAAGAUUCCAGGAAGAUCAUUUACUUUGUUGGAGUUGCCUUGAGAUCGACCGUCGGAGAACCAGUCAGCCAACAACAGGCCAGGUAUAAUGUAAAAGCGCGAGGCGUGCAGUUCGUGUUAAUGGAAUGCGGAAUAUACAUUCCUGGCUCGGUUACGUAAGCGUGGACAGGUACAACAGCUCGUACCAGCCGAUCAUCGAUCUUCCUACGGUGUUCUUUUCACGCCACCCAGUCAUGUCAUCGCGAACCGUGUCCGUGAACACUAUCUCGUGUUCUUGGUAAUUAGUAACAGCCUUUAAUUAGAAAUGUCGAACUUCCAUCCAAUGAACAUUGAUAUAAUCUUUCGUUAGUUAAAUUUCUAAUUAUUUAGAGUCUUCUGUGCUCCUUUCGAGAAUUAAAUUUUAAAGUAGAACGUGGAUAUUUGGAGAGGAGCACCGUCAGUGGAUCGAUCUGUGCAACCAAAUUGCUUCGUUAGAGUAAAAACACGAAAGCAUAACGCGCCGACCGUUAUUCGAGAAGUGUCUCCGAGCGUCUGGCUGAAAUUAUUAAACCACAUGUUCGACGUGCUCAUGGAACCUGUUAUUCUGUUUCAAAGGAGGAUUAUCAACUCUGUAAAAUAUAAGACCGUCUUCCAAUGUUCGCCAACCUAGUUUCUAACUUCGCUAACCCACUUUUCAACAAUCGCACGAUUCUUCCAAACUCUGCGAAAAUCCUCUUCGAUCAGAGGAAAAAUUGCAAAGCCUCGGGAACACAGGAUGAAUCGCCUGGAGACUCGAAAUCGAGGCAGGAGAAGGAGAGCUAACGGAGAAAUUGAGCACUAUUAAGUCUCUGACAAUAGCGAAGAAAAUGGAAGAACGUCUAUUACCGAAGAAGACGAGCAUCGGUGGCGAACAGGAACAGAAACAGCGGCAGCAACAGCAACGAUCGCUCUAAAUUACCCCGUGACUCCACCGGAGAACAAUGCGGUGGAAUGCGCCGCGAACCGUCUUCCGGCUAUGAGAGAAACGAUCGUGGUCGAACCACGCUUAUACGAGUUCGUAUGAGAAAUUGCAACGGUGUAACAAUGCUUGUUCCAUAGGAUAGACGCGAACACGUUCGUAUAAACAUCGAGGGAAAGGUAUCUUUACCUUUUUGCUAGAGUCACUUCUUGUCCGCGCAUAGUGAGUCAUAGAUGUUGUAGAAACGGCGAGAAAUCCCCUUGUUGAGGAUUCUGUGAUAAUUUAUUUAAGUACCUCUUGGUUACAUUCCGAAUUUUAUUGAAAUCUUUCAUCUCGGUCUUUAUAAUACAUACACACAUACACAUGCAUAUAUAUAAGUAUAAAUAUUUAUCUGUUUAAAAAAUGUAUGGCGCGUGCACAAUAGUACAUAUAAUAUUGAAUAUAUAGAAUCUAUAAAAUGUCUAAAAAAAAAAAAAAUCUAAAAGAGUCGUAAGAAUUCGUAAAAUCUGCGAAAACCUUCUACAAUGAACUUUCAACAACCAAACCUCAUUAUCGCGAAUAGUCUAAUCUUCUGAGUCAACCUGAUCACAAAUGGAUUUGAAUGUAAGAGAGGAACUUGAAAAAAAUUCUCAUUAGUCAACGCGGUAGCAGCAGAGAGAAGCUAUUUCACAGCGAGUAAGCAAAGAAAGGAAAUGAUUGGAAGGGAACGAAGGGCACGAGCAGCCAGACGAGCAUUGUUCCGGUUAAUCCUCUUACCGCGAUUUUUGUCUGCCCUGAUCGACGCGGGUAUCCGAAAAAUGCAAACAGUUACACGAACGAAGCGAACUAACGGCGUCACGGCCAUCCGAAUAACGCAUAGAUCCGUUACUUUUGCAAAGAGCAGAAGGGAACGAACAACCGUAAAAUCGCAGCUCUACAUCAGCGAACGAUUUCGAAAGUUCAUGGAAACGAUGUCAUCCUGGUGCCACGUGGAGAACGUAGGCAAUGACAUCGACGCGACAUCGAUGAUACGAACGCUACGAAUGUUCCAUUCCUAGCGAACGUCUGUUAGAUCGAUUCCAUCGCUUGGAAUAAUGAAAUCUUCUGCACGGUUGGGAUUUACAACUUGAAUUCUUGCUGUUAUACUUCAACUUAUACUUAGCUCUCAAGUCGUUUCAUAAAAGUAGCAAAUCUUCUGUUUGUACUGGCAAUUUAUUUAUGUUGACAAUUCAAGAAAACAGUUGGAGAUAUUUGAUUUGAAUUGAAAAAUGGUUCUCGCACUUCGUAUUACAUAUAUGCAUUGCUAUCUGUUUAAUAAAAUGAUAUUUAUAAAAUAGCUCUUAUAAAAUAGUAUUUAUGAAAUGGUACUUGUAGAAGCAGAUUAAAAAAAGAUUUUAUAUCCAAAUUAUUCGAAUUUCUAAAAGUAUCGAAUUCAAUUUACCACGAAUCGUAAUCGGAAUUAUUGACAGUUACGAAUGCUAAAUGGCAGUUUAAAAUGGACAUUCGCGAUGCUUUCGAUGACGAUAACGUACUUAUUUUAUCGAUUUCGAAAUUGCAACAGCUCACAGCGUGUCGAGUAUUAUAAGGCAAACGGAACAUCAGAAUCGUUGCCAUAAGACGCUUCAUUUCGUCGCCGAUAUUGGCUAUUCUCUAUCGCGUACAUAGAAAUAAAAUUUGUACAGUGAUUCACCAGGCAGAUACCCAAGAGAAGACAUUAAACCAGAAACUUCGUUGAACGAAACGGUGCUCCGUUACGUCUCGAAAUUUCGUGUAUGACCGCGCAAACUAAUCAAAUUUCAAUCGCAAAUAGGAUUUCGCCCAGGCCCCAGGUUGAAACCGACUCCGAUAUUGAGAUAGAACCAACGUAGUAACGAAGCAGAAUAAUGUUAAAUUAUAUUUAAUAAAGAAAAUAUAUUUAAAUUA
Molecule: long non-coding RNA, 4010 nt
Organism: Bombus pyrosoma
Lineage: Eukaryota; Metazoa; Arthropoda; Insecta; Hymenoptera; Apidae
Exons: 2
Source: RefSeq, a predicted model, not a curated record